RNAcentral lists this ribosomal RNA (2932 nucleotides) under Escherichia coli. Its description in RNAcentral is "23S ribosomal RNA". It matches the Rfam family "Bacterial large subunit ribosomal RNA". The record is from RNAcentral. Lineage: Bacteria; Pseudomonadati; Pseudomonadota; Gammaproteobacteria; Enterobacterales; Enterobacteriaceae.
GGGUUGUGAGGUUAAGCGACUAAGCGUACACGGUGGAUGCCCUGGCAGUCAGAGGCGAUGAAGGACGUGCUAAUCUGCGAUAAGCGUCGGUAAGGUGAUAUGAACCGUUAUAACCGGCGAUUUCCGAAUGGGGAAACCCAGUGUGAUUCGUCACACUAUCAUUAACUGAAUCCAUAGGUUAAUGAGGCGAACCGGGGGAACUGAAACAUCUAAGUACCCCGAGGAAAAGAAAUCAACCGAGAUUCCCCCAGUAGCGGCGAGCGAACGGGGAGCAGCCCAGAGCCUGAAUCAGUGUGUGUGUUAGUGGAAGCGUCUGGAAAGGCGCGCGAUACAGGGUGACAGCCCCGUACACAAAAAUGCACAUACUGUGAGCUCGAUGAGUAGGGCGGGACACGUGGUAUCCUGUCUGAAUAUGGGGGGACCAUCCUCCAAGGCUAAAUACUCCUGACUGACCGAUAGUGAACCAGUACCGUGAGGGAAAGGCGAAAAGAACCCCGGCGAGGGGAGUGAAAAAGAACCUGAAACCGUGUACGUACAAGCAGUGGGAGCACAGAGCAAUCUGUGUGACUGCGUACCUUUUGUAUAAUGGGUCAGCGACUUAUAUUCUGUAGCAAGGUUAACCGAAUAGGGGAGCCGAAGGGAAACCGAGUCUUAACUGGGCGUUAAGUUGCAGGGUAUAGACCCGAAACCCGGUGAUCUAGCCAUGGGCAGGUUGAAGGUUGGGUAACACUAACUGGAGGACCGAACCGACUAAUGUUGAAAAAUUAGCGGAUGACUUGUGGCUGGGGGUGAAAGGCCAAUCAAACCGGGAGAUAGCUGGUUCUCCCCGAAAGCUAUUUAGGUAGCGCCUCGUGAAUUCAUCUCCGGGGGUAGAGCACUGUUUCGGCAAGGGGGUCAUCCCGACUUACCAACCCGAUGCAAACUGCGAAUACCGGAGAAUGUUAUCACGGGAGACACACGGCGGGUGCUAACGUCCGUCGUGAAGAGGGAAACAACCCAGACCGCCAGCUAAGGUCCCAAAGUCAUGGUUAAGUGGGAAACGAUGUGGGAAGGCCCAGACAGCCAGGAUGUUGGCUUAGAAGCAGCCAUCAUUUAAAGAAAGCGUAAUAGCUCACUGGUCGAGUCGGCCUGCGCGGAAGAUGUAACGGGGCUAAACCAUGCACCGAAGCUGCGGCAGCGACGCUGAUGCGUUGUUGGGUAGGGGAGCGUUCUGUAAGCCUGUGAAGGUGUGCUGUGAGGCAUGCUGGAGGUAUCAGAAGUGCGAAUGCUGACAUAAGUAACGAUAAAGCGGGUGAAAAGCCCGCUCGCCGGAAGACCAAGGGUUCCUGUCCAACGUUAAUCGGGGCAGGGUGAGUCGACCCCUAAGGCGAGGCCGAAAGGCGUAGUCGAUGGGAAACAGGUUAAUAUUCCUGUACUUGGUGUUACUGCGAAGGGGGGACGGAGAAGGCUAUGUUGGCCGGGCGACGGUUGUCCCGGUUUAAGCGUGUAGGCUGGUUUUCCAGGCAAAUCCGGAAAAUCAAGGCUGAGGCGUGAUGACGAGGCACUACGGUGCUGAAGCAACAAAUGCCCUGCUUCCAGGAAAAGCCUCUAAGCAUCAGGUAACAUCAAAUCGUACCCCAAACCGACACAGGUGGUCAGGUAGAGAAUACCAAGGCGCUUGAGAGAACUCGGGUGAAGGAACUAGGCAAAAUGGUGCCGUAACUUCGGGAGAAGGCACGCUGAUAUGUAGGUGAAGCGACUUGCUCGUGGAGCUGAAAUCAGUCGAAGAUACCAGCUGGCUGCAACUGUUUAUUAAAAACACAGCACUGUGCAAACACGAAAGUGGACGUAUACGGUGUGACGCCUGCCCGGUGCCGGAAGGUUAAUUGAUGGGGUCAGCGCAAGCGAAGCUCUUGAUCGAAGCCCCGGUAAACGGCGGCCGUAACUAUAACGGUCCUAAGGUAGCGAAAUUCCUUGUCGGGUAAGUUCCGACCUGCACGAAUGGCGUAAUGAUGGCCAGGCUGUCUCCACCCGAGACUCAGUGAAAUUGAACUCGCUGUGAAGAUGCAGUGUACCCGCGGCAAGACGGAAAGACCCCGUGAACCUUUACUAUAGCUUGACACUGAACAUUGAGCCUUGAUGUGUAGGAUAGGUGGGAGGCUUUGAAGUGUGGACGCCAGUCUGCAUGGAGCCGGCCUUGAAAUACCACCCUUUAAUGUUUGAUGUUCUAACGUUGACCCGUGAUCCGGGUUGCGGACAGUGUCUGGUGGGUAGUUUGACUGGGGCGGUCUCCUCCUAAAGAGUAACGGAGGAGCACGAAGGUUGGCUAAUCCUGGUCGGACAUCAGGAGGUUAGUGCAAUGGCAUAAGCCAGCUUGACUGCGAGCGUGACGGCGCGAGCAGGUGCGAAAGCAGGUCAUAGUGAUCCGGUGGUUCUGAAUGGAAGGGCCAUCGCUCAACGGAUAAAAGGUACUCCGGGGAUAACAGGCUGAUACCGCCCAAGAGUUCAUAUCGACGGCGGUGUUUGGCACCUCGAUGUCGGCUCAUCACAUCCUGGGGCUGAAGUAGGUCCCAAGGGUAUGGCUGUUCGCCAUUUAAAGUGGUACGCGAGCUGGGUUUAGAACGUCGUGAGACAGUUCGGUCCCUAUCUGCCGUGGGCGCUGGAGAACUGAGGGGGGCUGCUCCUAGUACGAGAGGACCGGAGUGGACGCAUCACUGGUGUUCGGGUUGUCAUGCCAAUGGCACUGCCCGGUAGCUAAAUGCGGAAGAGAUAAGUGCUGAAAGCAUCUAAGCACGAAACUUGCCCCGAGAUGAGUUCUCCCUGACUCCUUGAGAGUCCUGAAGGAACGUUGAAGACGACGACGUUGAUAGGCCGGGUGUGUAAGCGCAGCGAUGCGUUGAGCUAACCGGUACUAAUGAACCGUGAGGCUUAACCUUACAACGCCGAAGCUGUU